Molecule: long non-coding RNA, 828 nt
Organism: Centruroides sculpturatus (bark scorpion)
Lineage: Eukaryota; Metazoa; Arthropoda; Arachnida; Scorpiones; Buthidae
Exons: 3
Source: RefSeq, a predicted model, not a curated record
AAAACAUAAAUAGGGGCCAUUCGCUUUCCAAACAAGAUUCUGCUGUUAACAUCUCUUAAGAAUAUCUUCAAAAAUGUUCAAGUGGAUUAUCUGUUUGCUUCUCUUGGCCGUAGUCAUCUGUUCGUCAGCGGACACUCAAGAUGGAAAAUCUGGACAAACUACCCCCUCUUAUCUGCAACACGAUAAUCAGAUAGGAUCGUGUUUGACUGAUCUUAUACGAGUGGUAUGCACAGCCAUCAUGGAGGAAUUGCCCAUGCGAAAACGAAGAAACGAACUGAUAAACAACAUUUUAGGAUUACCACGUGUGCUUCAGGAUAUUGGCAAAUAAUUAAUAUUUACUCUCAUUCGGUAGUUUCAAAUUCUAAUGUAAAUAUUAUUUAUGAAUCUUUAACAUAUUGGUAGCUAAUUCGAUCAAGUUUUACUAAUUAUGAUCCAAUUUCGUGUACAUAUAAUCACGUGCUAAUACAUUAUUAUCAUCUUGUGAAGUUUCAUACUGUAUCUGAAGACAAUAGCAGUAACAGUAACGAAAUUAUUUACGGUAAAAAAAAUCCGAAAUUUGUUUCUAAAACAACGAUAGUUAGCGUUGAAAGUGAAAAAAAAAGUAUUGCAAACCUUCAUGUGUUCAUAAAACUAUGUUAAUAGUUUUGCAAUUUGUCAUUAGUCAAUUGUUACUAUUUAUGUAAUUUCUUGAUAUCUGGAGAAAUAAUUUCUCUGAAUAGUAAAGAAAUUGUUUGUAUAUAAUUAUGUUUGUGUCUGAAAUUAUCUGGAAUAAUCUUAUCAUAAAGUAUCAUCAAAGCAUUUUUAUUUAUUUUAAUGGAUCUCUUCUGU